Molecule: transfer RNA, 66 nt
Filed under: Chrysis indigotea
Lineage: Eukaryota; Metazoa; Arthropoda; Insecta; Hymenoptera; Chrysididae
Description: tRNA-Val
Source: RNAcentral
AAAAGUUUAGUUUAAUUAAAAAUAUUUCAUUUACAAUUGAAAAGAUUAUUAGUUUUAAAAAUUUUA